RNAcentral lists this ribosomal RNA (277 nucleotides) under uncultured bacterium. RNAcentral's name for it is "partial 16S ribosomal RNA". It matches the Rfam family "Bacterial small subunit ribosomal RNA", at positions 79 to 354 of the family's 1533-position model. The record is from RNAcentral.
CUUUCUCCGCCGGCGACCGGCGCACGGGUGAGUAACACGUAUGCAACCUGCCCAUGUCAGGGGGACAACCCGCCGAAAGGCGGGGCUAAACCCGCGUACAUGCCACCGGGGCAUCCCGGAGGCAGGAAAGGCUUCGGCCGGACAGGGAUGGGCAUGCGGCGCAUUAGGCAGUAGGCGGGGUAACGGCCCACCUAACCGACGAUGCGUAGGGGUUCUGAGAGGAAGGUCCCCCACACUGGUACUGAGACACGGACCAGACUCCUACGGGAGGCAGCAG